GGACUACUGGGGUAUCUAAUCCUGUUUGAUCCCCGCACUUUCGUGCCUCAGCGUCAGUUACAGUUUUGUGAGCUGCCUUCGCAAUCGGUGUUCUAUGACAUCUCUAUGUAUUUCACCACUACAUGUCAUAUUCCGCCCACAGCAUCUGUACUCAAGCCCAGCAGUAUCAAUGGCAGUUCUGUUGUUAAGCAACAGGCUUUCACCACUGACUUACCGGGCCGCCUACGCACCCUUUAAACCCAAUGAAUCCGGAUAACGCUUGCAUCCUUCGUCUUACCGCGGCUGCUGGCAC
RNAcentral lists this ribosomal RNA (292 nucleotides) under uncultured bacterium. RNAcentral's name for it is "partial 16S ribosomal RNA". The record is from RNAcentral.